CUGGGAAGCACCACUACUGAGCUGAUGUCCAUCAGGAGGGAGGCCAGUACCAAAGCCACAACAGGCACUGCCAUCCCAGAAACCAAGGACACAUCAGGGGGGCUCAGCAUGAGCCUUUCCCCCCAUGCAGCUCUCAGAAACCCUGAUGGUCCCUCUCCAAGGCCCCUUCCACAGUCCAUGGGCUCUCUGCUCCCUCAGUCCCUCUCAGCAGGCCUUGGGACCACCACAGCAGAGGCAGCUGCAGGCAGAUCUCCUUCAGCCACUCCCAGCACGGCCAUGCCUUUGUCCCUCACGGGCACGACUGGAGCAAAGCCAGACAGGGUCCCUCGAGCUGCUGCUGCUGCACCACCACCUUCCAUCGCUGCGUUUGGCAUCGGGACUGUGCCAGCCACCUAUCCAUCCUCCUCUGUUAGCAACUCUCCAAGUAGUGAAGCAGGGAUAGGAUCAGCAUCACUGGCCAGUGGCAGUGCCACCACAAUGCCGGGGGACACCAAAGCCACCCUGCCUGUGCCUGAUGCACACCCCAGCCACAGCCAGCCAGGGCCCACAGCUGGCUCAACAACCCCUGGAACUGGCAUCACACCCAGAUCUGCACUAACCCCAGUGCUCUGGGCUGGGCCCCAGAUUGUGGAAGCUCCAGGGACAGAGAUGCCAUCACCCAACACUGCACCAGGCACUGGCAGAGCUAUAUCAGAUACCCCUGGGGGACCCAGAGCAGUCACUGUCCCCAUGGCAUCACAAACUGACAUCUCCCCUCUCCUGGAAGGCAGAGCCAAUGUAGGGACGGCUCUGGAGGUGUCUCCAACCAGCAUCCCCCAAGAGAUGGCAGCAGUCACGUCCCCACUGUCCCUGACUGCCCCACUGCAAGCAAUGGGGGCUUCAGGUGACCCCCAGCCCAAUGGCAGCACCACAGGGCGAGCAACAAGCAUGGGGUUCCUGGAGGUGAGCACGGAGGAGAACCCAGGUGCCAGUGAAGCAGGGCCAGCUCCCAGCAAAACAAUUGUCACUGCCAG
RNAcentral lists this long non-coding RNA (1013 nucleotides) under Zonotrichia albicollis (white-throated sparrow). RNAcentral describes it as "lncRNA (ENSZALG00000006487.1)". Lineage: Eukaryota; Metazoa; Chordata; Aves; Passeriformes; Passerellidae. The record is from RNAcentral.